This 741-nucleotide ribosomal RNA is filed under the name Bacillus cereus. Its description in RNAcentral is "bacterial SSU rRNA". It matches the Rfam family "Bacterial small subunit ribosomal RNA", at positions 56 to 780 of the family's 1533-position model. Lineage: Bacteria; Bacillati; Bacillota; Bacilli; Caryophanales; Bacillaceae. The record is from RNAcentral.
UGCAGUCGAGCGAUGGAUUAAGAGCUUGCUCUUAUGAAGUUAGCGGCGGACGGGUGAGUAACACGUGGGUAACCUGCCCAUAAAACUGGGAUAACUCCGGGAAACCGGGGCUAAUACCGGAUAACAUUUUGAACCGCAUGGUUCGAAAUUGAAAGGCGGCUUCGGCUGUCACUUAUGGAUGGACCCGCGUCGCAUUAGCUAGUUGGUGAGGUAACGGCUCACCAAGGCAACGAUGCGUAGCCGACCUGAGAGGGUGAUCGGCCACACUGGGACUGAGACACGGCCCAGACUCCUACGGGAGGCAGCAGUAGGGAAUCUUCCGCAAUGGACGAAAGUCUGACGGAGCAACGCCGCGUGAGUGAUGAAGGCUUUCGGGUCGUAAAACUCUGUUGUUGGGAAGAACAAGUGCUAGUUGAAUAAGCUGGCACCUUGACGGUACCUAACCAGAAAGCCACGGCUAACUACGUGCCAGCAGCCGCGGUAAUACGUAGGUGGCAAGCGUUAUCCGGAAUUAUUGGGCGUAAAGCGCGCGCAGGUGGUUUCUUAAGUCUGAUGUGAAAGCCCACGGCUCAACCGUGGAGGGUCAUUGGAAACUGGGAGACUUGAGUGCAGAAGAGGAAAGUGGAAUUCCAUGUGUAGCGGUGAAAUGCGUAGAGAUAUGGAGGAACACCAGUGGCGAAGGCGACUUUCUGGUCUGUAACUGACACUGAGGCGCGAAAGCGUGGGGAGCAAACAGGAUUA